Molecule: transfer RNA, 81 nt
Filed under: Paragonimus westermani
Lineage: Eukaryota; Metazoa; Platyhelminthes; Trematoda; Plagiorchiida; Troglotrematidae
Description: tRNA-Arg
Source: RNAcentral
GGCUUCGUAGCUUACCUGGUAGAGCGCUCGACACGUUUGAGUGCGCUGUUCCUGUCACUGGUUCGGAUUCAGCCGAAGCCC